UAAUUGCGCGUCAACUUGUGAACUGCAGGACACAUGAACAUCGACAUUUCGAACGCACAUUGCGGUCCACGGAUACAAUUCCCGGACCACGUCUGGCUGAGGGUCGUUUAACAAACAAAACCAGACUGCUCGCGCGCCAGCGCGAGCGAACUGUUGGGCGUUUCGUCGGCGAUGGCAGCCUUUUCUUUAAAACGCGCGAGAGAGCCUCGUGCGUUGAAAAGUUGUCGGCGGCCUCGCUUGGCGUCGCCCGAAACGAUGCGAAACAGCUCGAGUAUAACGUCGAUAUACGGCAACGUUCACACGGCCGGCGUCCAGUCGAAUUGGAUUUGAGAGUGUACAGAGAUAUAUGCUCUCGAUCGAACGCGUUAGCUCGUCCGAGUCCCGGAGCUCCGAUGCGCGAGAGUUAUCAUCAGCUCUCGCGCCGAGCGGACCGUACGAGCUAGAACCGCGUUCACGGACGUCGGCGCUGUUUUGAGCUUGUUGCUCCGUUGAGACGGGCAUUUAGAUUUUAUUCGACGUUUCGUUUAACGAAAGCAAUGCGCGUGAACGCUUUAUUUCGAAAUCCUAUGCGUUCAUUCGCUCUCUUUCGCAUACACUUGUAUUAUCAUAUGACGACCUCAGAGCAGGCGAGAUUACCCGCUGA
RNAcentral lists this ribosomal RNA (643 nucleotides) under Leptomastidea bifasciata. RNAcentral's name for it is "eukaryotic LSU rRNA". The stretch from base 1 to 106 matches the Rfam family "5.8S ribosomal RNA", at positions 50 to 154 of the family's 154-position model. Lineage: Eukaryota; Metazoa; Arthropoda; Insecta; Hymenoptera; Encyrtidae. The record is from RNAcentral.